UGCCAAAACUUUGCCUGCUUUAGUUCUGC
This 29-nucleotide non-coding RNA is filed under the name Mus musculus (house mouse). Lineage: Eukaryota; Metazoa; Chordata; Mammalia; Rodentia; Muridae. The record is from RNAcentral.